CCUACGGGAGGCAGCAGUAGGGAAUCUUCCACAAUGGACGCAAGUCUGAUGGAGCAACGCCGCGUGAGUGAAGAAGGUUUUCGGAUCGUAAAGCUCUGUUGUUGGUGAAGAAGGAUAGAGGUAGUAACUGGCCUUUAUUUGACGGUAAUCAACCAGAAAGUCACGGCUAACUACGUGCCAGCAGCCGCGGUAAU
RNAcentral lists this ribosomal RNA (194 nucleotides) under Lactobacillus helveticus. RNAcentral's name for it is "partial 16S ribosomal RNA". It matches the Rfam family "Bacterial small subunit ribosomal RNA", at positions 338 to 524 of the family's 1533-position model. Lineage: Bacteria; Bacillati; Bacillota; Bacilli; Lactobacillales; Lactobacillaceae. RNAcentral also lists the same sequence under 2 other names. The record is from RNAcentral.